RNAcentral lists this transfer RNA (87 nucleotides) under Candidatus Moraniibacteriota bacterium. RNAcentral's name for it is "Candidatus Moranbacteria bacterium tRNA-Leu". It matches the Rfam family "tRNA". From Rfam's summary of the family: Transfer RNA (tRNA) molecules are approximately 80 nucleotides in length. Their secondary structure includes four short double-helical elements and three loops (D, anti-codon, and T loops). The record is from RNAcentral. Lineage: Bacteria; Candidatus Moraniibacteriota.
GCCUGGGUGGCGGAAUGGUAUACGCGCGAGUCUCAAAAACUCGUGACCCUUAAAGUCUUGAGAGUUCGAGUCUCUCCCCAGGCACGA